Molecule: long non-coding RNA, 1577 nt
Filed under: Homo sapiens (human)
Lineage: Eukaryota; Metazoa; Chordata; Mammalia; Primates; Hominidae
Description: HSALNT0083446
Source: RNAcentral
GAAAAGCCCCUGGUGAAAAACUUCUCUGGUGGGUGAAGAUCAGUGAUGGCCCGAAAUCAUCUCGGUGUUCUGAAGCCUAGGAAAGCUGUUGGCCUGGCACCGGGGCCACUUCCUACAAGAACUGGCAGCCUCAGGCGGAAUGUUUGAGGGCAGCUGACCUGAACAGACUGAUCCGUCUGCCUGGAAGAUUCUUCUAACUCAGCUGGAGAAUGGCUGCUCAAUAAUGCAGCCCCUUUCUUCCUGUAAGCUGCUAUGGGAGUGAGUGCUUCUUGGAAGGGCAGUAGCUGGUUUGCAAUCUACAAGGAUGAGUCUGAGGAUAGAGAGCCUCCAAGCGAAGACAUCCUGCCUUCAGGACAGGGAAGAUGCAGAGAGGGCGAGAGGCCGUUCCUUUCUACGUGUCAGCUUUCUAGUUUAAAAUCUACAGUCAGUGUUCAGUCUAUUCAGUCAUGCAGUGAUGUCAGGACAAAUGUACCACGAGUGCCUGAGAGUCCAGUCUUCCCCAAGAAGAGACAAGCACGAAGAUCCUAGGAGGAAGCACGCUGACGGGGACUAGUCACGGCCACGACACCUCUAGUGUCAGGGCAGCCCUGUGGCCCCUCGAGCUGCUGUGUAACCAGCUCCUCUGGGAAAGCACAAGCCCUUGGAAUGCUCUCCAGCUCCCUUGUGAGUAAUUUUCGAGAAGAACACAACUUUGCCAAGAACAUCCCGCAAUCUGGGUGUCUUGUCUUUGAAGACUUUGGAAAAUUUGGAUGACGUGCCUAGCGCCAUAAUUUAUACUUCAGUAGGUAAGGCUGAUCUGGGGAAACGCAACUUUGACUAAUUUACUGGCAGGAGGUUGACUCUUCCCGGUGACACAUCUGCAGAUCAUUUUCCCUCCAUGCUCUGUUUUGGGGUUUUUGGGUUAUCAAAGCCCCAGCACACCUGCUGGCCGCACGCACAUGCUGCACUGGGCCUUCCCCGAACGCCCCAUGUCCGCCACCUGGCGUGGCCAUGGAAAAGAGUCACACACGGAAGAGGGGUGACAAGCAGCCUCUUUGUGACUUCACUUUUCCUUCUUCUUCUUAAGGCCGGUCUUCAUCAAUGCAAUGGAAUCAUCCAUGUGUGGCUCCCGAGGAAAGAAGGUGUGGUUUACUGCCAGGUGCUCUUCAGAGCUGAGUCCCUCUAACAGCAGGCCUGUUAAGGCGUGGCUGCGGCCUGAACCCUCCGGCUGAGCCUUUGCCUCCCAGGUUCCUGGACAUCCUCCACUCACUCCUCUGUUUGUGGGACCCUGCCUGGCCUGUCUGAUCCUCCUUGAGAUUUUGGCCCACAUAUAUCAAUUUCUCUCUGCCCCCAUGCAGUGGUAGUCACCGUUCUGUCCCCCGCGGGUGCUGGUGAGAAAGGUAAAAGGGCGGUUCCAGAGCCUGAGGGCCUGUGAGUGCAGUUUACAUAACUGCCGAAACUUAAGGAAGCGUCUAAAUAAAAAGAAACAUGUUAACCCAAAAUGGUUUAUUUGUUUUUUUUUUUUUUUUGGUUUCCAGAGCUCAUGCAAACAUGCAAAAAAUAGAGUAAGAAAAAAGCAAUUCUUCUCACAAAACAAG